This 842-nucleotide ribosomal RNA is filed under the name uncultured Arcicella sp. Its description in RNAcentral is "bacterial SSU rRNA". It matches the Rfam family "Bacterial small subunit ribosomal RNA", at positions 9 to 864 of the family's 1533-position model. Lineage: Bacteria; Pseudomonadati; Bacteroidota; Cytophagia; Cytophagales; Flectobacillaceae. The record is from RNAcentral.
GAGUUUGAUUCUGGCUCACGAUGAACGCUAGUGGCAGGCCUAAUACAUGCAAGUCGAACGGUGUCUUCGGACAUAGUGGCGCACGGGUGCGUAACACGUAUGCAACCUACCUUACAUUGGGGGAUAGCCUUUCGAAAGGGAGAUUAAUACCGCGUAAGACAGUAGCUGGGCAUCCAGCAGCUGUUAAAGAUUUAUCGAUGUAAGCUGGGCAUGCGUCCAAUUAGCUAGUUGGUGAGGUAACGGCUCACCAAGGCAAUGAUUGGUAGGGGAACUGAGAGGUCAAUCCCCCACACUGGCACUGAGAUACGGGCCAGACUCCUACGGGAGGCAGCAGUAGGGAAUAUUGGGCAAUGGACGCAAGUCUGACCCAGCCAUGCCGCGUGCAGGAUGAAGGCGUUAUGCGUUGUAAACUGCUUUUAUACAGGAAGAAACGACUCUUGCGAGAGGCAUUGACGGUACUGUAUGAAUAAGCACCGGCUAACUCCGUGCCAGCAGCCGCGGUAAUACGGAGGGUGCAAGCGUUGUCCGGAUUUAUUGGGUUUAAAGGGUGCGCAGGUGGUUUAUUAAGUCAGUGGUGAAAGACGGUCGCUCAACGAUUGCAGUGCCAUUGAAACUGGUAGACUUGAGUAAAGUAGAGGUGGGCGGAAUUGAUAGUGUAGCGGUGAAAUGCAUAGAUAUUAUCAAGAACUCCAAUUGCGUAGGCAGCUCACUUGGCUUUUACUGACACUCAUGCACGAAAGUGUGGGUAUCAAACAGGAUUAGAUACCCUGGUAGUCCACACUGUAAACGAUGAUAACUAGGUGUCGGCCGAACCUGGUCGGUGCCACAGCGAAAGCGUUAAG